CACACUGGAGAGAGACCGUUCAGCUGUGACUUGUGUGGAAAGUCGUUUUCCAGGAAGAAAGCCCUAAAAAGACACCAAAUCCUCCACAGUGGAGUUAAAGCUUACAGCUGUGAUCAGUGUGGUAAAGCUUUUACUCGAAGUAGCCACUUACAGAGACAUCUAGUUACCCACUCUGGAAUUAAGGCAUACAGCUGUGACAUCUGUGGAAAAUCUUUCAGCCGGCUAUGGAGCCGAAAUAGACACCUACGCAUUCACUCCGGAGACAAUGUGUACUGGUGUGAUCAGUGUGGCAAAUACUUUACAACAGACGCACAUUUACAAAGCCACAUGUUUACCCACACUGAGGAGAGACCUUAUCAAUGCGACCUGUGUGAGAAGACUUUUAAAGCUCCGAGUCACCUGAGACGACACCAACAGAUCCACACCAGAAAGAGACUCUACAAGUGCAGUUACUGUGAGAAGCAGAGCGACACAGAUGGAUCCACUUCUCAACCCUGUCAUCGCUGUGGUGGUGGGAAAGACUUCCGUUGUGACAUCUGUG
This is a long non-coding RNA of Oreochromis niloticus (Nile tilapia), 541 nucleotides long. RefSeq lists it as uncharacterized. The record is from RefSeq and is a predicted model, not a curated record. The transcript is spliced from 2 exons. Lineage: Eukaryota; Metazoa; Chordata; Actinopteri; Cichliformes; Cichlidae.